UACGUAGGGUGCAAGCGUUGUCCGGAAUUAUUGGGCGUAAAGAGCUCGUAGGCGGUCCGGCAAGUCGGGUGUGAAAGCCCUCGGCUUAACCGAGGAAGUGCAUUCGAAACUACCGGACUUGAAUACUGGAGAGGGUCGCGGAAUUCCCGGUGUAGAGGUGAAAUUCGUAGAUAUCGGGAGGAACACCAGUGGCGAAGGCGGCGACCUGGACAGAUAUUGACGCUGAGGUGCGAAAGCGUGGGGAGCAAACAGG
Molecule: ribosomal RNA, 253 nt
Filed under: uncultured bacterium
Lineage: Bacteria
Description: partial 16S ribosomal RNA
Rfam family: Bacterial small subunit ribosomal RNA
Source: RNAcentral